UAGUCCACGCUGUAAACGAUGUCUACUUGGAGGUUGUUGUCUUGAAUGAUGGCUUCGGAGGCGUAACGCGUUAAGUAGACCGCCUGGGGAGUACGGCCGCAAGGUUAAAACUCAAAUGAAUUGACGGGGGCCCGCACAAGCGGUGGGGCAUGUGGUUUAAUUCGAUGCAACGCGAAGAACCUUACCUACUCUUGACAUCUACAGAAGCCAGCGGAGACGCAGGUGUGCCUUCGGGAACUGUAAGACAGGUGCUGCAUGGCUGUCGUCAGCUCGUGUUGUGAAAUGUUGGGUUAAGUCCCGCAACGAGCGCAACCCUUAUCCUUGUUUGCCAGCACGUAAUGGUGGGAACUCCAGGGAGACUGCCGGUGAUAAACCGGAGGAAGGUGGGGACGACGUCAAGUCAUCAUGGCCCUUACGAGUAGGGCUACACACGUGCUACAAUGGUGCAUACAGAGGGCAGCGAGACCGNGAGGUGGAGCGAUACCACGAAGUAGCAUCGUAGUCGGUA
Molecule: ribosomal RNA, 508 nt
Filed under: uncultured bacterium
Lineage: Bacteria
Description: bacterial SSU rRNA
Rfam family: Bacterial small subunit ribosomal RNA
Source: RNAcentral